UGGGGAACCGGUAUGUGUCGUG
Molecule: unclassified non-coding RNA, 22 nt
Filed under: Chlamydomonas reinhardtii
Lineage: Eukaryota; Viridiplantae; Chlorophyta; Chlorophyceae; Chlamydomonadales; Chlamydomonadaceae
Description: small RNA Cre_3385
Source: RNAcentral